This 293-nucleotide long non-coding RNA is filed under the name Lathyrus oleraceus (garden pea). RNAcentral describes it as "Pisum sativum (pea) long non-coding RNA (PSAT_LNC035646)". The record is from RNAcentral. Lineage: Eukaryota; Viridiplantae; Streptophyta; Magnoliopsida; Fabales; Fabaceae.
UUCUUCCUUCCUCUUCUUCUCUUUCUCUUCUCUUCUUUCUUUUUCUUUCUCUUUAUUUUUUCUCUUCCCAAUUGAUAUUUUGUCUCUUUAUUUAAUUCUGUUUCAGUGAUAACCGGUUAACCUAAACUGUAAAAAUAGGAAAAAUUUCAAUUUCCAUUAAUUCUCAGUAACUUCUUUCCUUAAAUAACUCCACUUCUUUUAUUGAAGAUGAUUUUCCAUCUUCUUCCUUCCUCUUCUUCUCUUUCUCUUCUCUUCUUUCUUUUUCUUUCUCUUUUCCUCUUUCUUUCUCUUUC